Molecule: ribosomal RNA, 989 nt
Filed under: Cornudiscoides longicirrus
Lineage: Eukaryota; Metazoa; Platyhelminthes; Monogenea; Dactylogyridea; Ancylodiscoididae
Description: eukaryotic LSU rRNA
Rfam family: Eukaryotic large subunit ribosomal RNA
Source: RNAcentral
CUUGGUGGCAGGGCAUGUGGUGUUAAACCUGAACCUGGGGAUGCUUGUCUACUCGAAGUCCAACUCCGAAUAUGGCUUGGAUUUGUUCUAGAGAGGGUGAAAGCCCCGUACGGGUAGACUUUUCGUCUUUUAAGCAUGCCUUAGAUGUUCAUGUUUUGGAGUCGGAUUGCUUGAGAAUGCAGUCCAAAGUGGGUGGUAAACUCCAUCCAAGGCUAAAUACCUGCACGAAUCCGAUAGUAGACAAGUACCGCGAGGGAAAGUUGAAAAGUACUCUGAAGAGAGAGUAAAUAGUACGUGAAGCCGUUUGCAUGGAAGCUGGUGGAGUCAAGCUUCUCGUUUCAAGAAUUGACAUGGAGGAUUUUGUUUGUGGACAGAGCUUUCAUUGGCAUGAAAACGACCAGACGGUUCGCCGUCUCAUCUAUUCUUGGCAGUGUAUUUGUUGUGAUUUUCUCUUGUCCAUUCUCUUUUGUUAUUUCUUUUUACGAGUAUCACUGUGAAUGUGUAUCAUUAUGCGGCAUAAUUAAACCGUGUUUUAGAGGGCCCCCGGGCUCACUAGGCACGGGAUGGCAUGUGGAUGUAGGUCGGAUUCGUCUGGUCUGCUUCGUAUAAUAGCUUUGCUUGCUGGUUAUGUCGCUACUUAAUAAUUGUGCAUAUUCUUCUUGUUGUGACGGUAUCCGAAAUGGUAGUCGUUAUUUAGAACAGUGGUAUUGAGGUAGACGUUCCAUCCGACCCGUCUUGAAACACGGACCAAGGAGUUUAACAUUCCCGCGAGUCAAUGGCUGUAUUACGAAAGCCAAGGGGCGUAAUGAAAGUAAAAGAUCACUUCUCGUGGUCAAAGGUGUGAUACCUGCGUGUCCUAAACGGGGCUGUGGGUAGCAUCACCGGGCCCGUCUCGUAAUGUAGUCAAGAUGACCAUGGUUGUCUUGCAUCAUUGAGGCGGAGCAAGAGCGGGAAUGUUGAGACCCGAAAGAUGGUGAAAACUAAUGCAA